UGCCGCGUGCAGGAAGACUGCCCUAUGGGUUGUAAACUGCUUUUACAGAGGAAGAACCCUCCCCACGUGUGGGGAGUUGACGGUACUCUGCGAAUAAGGAUCGGCUAACUCCGUGCCAGCAGCCGCGGUAAUACGGAGGAUCCAAGCGUUAUCCGGAAUCAUUGGGUUUAAAGGGUCCGUAGGCGGGUUUAUAAGUCAGUGGUGAAAGUCUGCAGCUUAACUGUAGAACUGCCAUUGAUACUGUAGAUCUUGAAUCAUUAUGAAGUGGUUAGAAUGUGUAGUGUAGCGGUGAAAUGCAUAGAUAUUACACAGAAUACCGAUUGCGAAGGCAGAUCACUAAUAAUGCAUUGACGCUGAUGGACGAAAGCGUAGGUAGCGAACAGGAUUAGAUACCCUGGUAGUCUACGCCGUAAACGAUGGUUACUAGCUGUCCGGCCUAAUUGAGGGCUGGGUGGUUAAGCGAAAGUGAUAAGUAACCCACCUGGGGAGUACGUUCGCAAGAAUGAAACUCAAAGGAAUUGACGGGGGCCCGCACAAGCGGUGGAGCAUGUGGUUUAAUUCGAUGAUACGCGAGGAACCUUACCAGGGCUUAAAUGCAGUCUGACGUAUCUGGAAACAGAUAUUUCUUCGGACAGAUUGCAAGGUGCUGCAUGGUUGUCGUCAGCUCGUGCCGUGAGGUGUCAGGUUAAGUCCUAUAACGAGCGCAACCCCUGUGGUUAGUUGCCAGCACGUAAUGGUGGGAACUCUAGCCAGACUGCCGGUGCAAACCG
RNAcentral lists this ribosomal RNA (770 nucleotides) under Zunongwangia sp. R112. Its description in RNAcentral is "bacterial SSU rRNA". It matches the Rfam family "Bacterial small subunit ribosomal RNA", at positions 395 to 1165 of the family's 1533-position model. The record is from RNAcentral. Lineage: Bacteria; Pseudomonadati; Bacteroidota; Flavobacteriia; Flavobacteriales; Flavobacteriaceae.